AUUGGUAAUUUGUUAGAUUCGAUCGUAUUGAAAAUUAAUUUAAUUUCCGUUCAAUCAGUGUCCGCGGGCGUGGUUGACCAUUUAAUUUCAGACAACGUCGGAACUUUGUGGAAAUCCGACUGCUGUGAAACCACAGUUUAGCAGUUGGCUCCCGAGGACUGAUGAUUGAUAAUUGAUUUAGAUCCCGAAUUAUUAUCUCCGACGAUACCUCGCGAAGAAACUCG
Cinara cedri is the source of this 224-nucleotide non-coding RNA. NCBI's taxonomy places the organism in Eukaryota, Metazoa, Arthropoda, Insecta, Hemiptera, Aphididae. The record is from the annotation of a GenBank genome assembly.